CUUCCUCAUUUUUCAUAUGUCUUCUUCUUCCUCUCUCUUCACUGAUUUUUCUUCCUGUUGUUUUUACAGGAGAGAAUUAAAGAUAGAAUAGAUGCGGCUAGAGAAGACUCUAGUUUGGAUUUUGAGGGUUGCUGCUGCUGCUGGAAAGGAAGUCAUGAUACAGCAAACCCUAGGCUCUAGCUACUUUGGAUUGAUUUUGUUUCCUGUAUUCAAUUCUGCUAAAGCACAAGCAGGCCACCACUCAGUUUUGUUAACUGAGAGGUGCACAGCUCAGUUUCGUUAACUGAGAGGUGCAAAGGCAGGCCGCUGCUCAGUUUCGUUAACUGAGUGGGACGGUAAAUGCAAGGGCAGGCCGCCACUUAGUUCCAUGAACUUUGGGGAGUAGCACCACUCAGGUGUGAAGGCAGGCCCCCACUUAGUUCCAUGAACUUUGGGGAGUAGCACCACUCAGUUCUGUUUACUGAGAGGUGUGAAGGCAUAAAUGUGUGCUAAAUAUAAUACGUCUUGCUCACCAAAGCAGCUUUGGGAUAGAUACACGUUCAACUGCAACUUUUGGAAGACAAACAGGUGAGCUUCUCUCUCUCCCCCUCUCUUCUCUUUCAUUCUUACUCGAGGACCGGAGUAUCUUGCUUGUUUUUUUGUUGCAAAACUUAUUACUUAUUCCAGGGACAUAUUCAGUGGGGAGAGUCUUUUAAGGCAGAAAUAGAAUGCUUGCCUGCUUGGCCUUUGAUCAGCCUGUUGCUUGGGUAAAGUUUCACUGAAAAUAGCCAUGUUUAGCUUUUGUUAUAUGACUUAUGUUGCUCACUAGACUGCUGGUACUCUGGUAGCAUAUUUAGUUUUAUUCUUUCUUUCAUAAUUAAAUCUUGGUCUGCAAAUGUUUGCAAAGGAAGAAAACAAGUUACAUUUCAAAUCAAAAGGUAUACAUUCUUAACUUUAUCUCAAUGUAUACAUGUCUAUCAUUCUUGUUCUUGAUGAGUACAUUUUUGCCUUUACAAAGACAUUUAGUAGUUAUCAUCUUAUGGUUAUGGAUAAACAAUUGCAAGAAAGACAAUGGUAAGUCUUGAGGCAGUGAUGAUCAUUACUAGCUUGGGUCCAGGCAUAGGUAAAAUCUCUCUUCAUCAGCCAUGGCAGGGUAACUCGGGACGGCCUUAUGGAAGAAUUUUGUUUCCCCAUUUUUCUUUCAUUUAGGCCACCGUUUCUGCCGCUAUGCAGGAGAUAGAUGCCUUUCCCUGUCCGACCCAAGAUAAACCUGAGCCUCUCUCUAAUACUGGUUGCAGUUUAGAGUCAUGCAUGUAACUAGUUAUCUGCCUCUGUAUUUUGUUUUAAAUAAAAAGGUAAUCAGCUGUAAUUAACUCUUUGCUAACCAUAUUCUGCAUUGCUUUCUUUCUAAUUUCAUCUUCGGAUUAUCUUUUUUGUUUUUGCAGGUCUUGCCCUCAUAUUCCUAUGAUAAAUUAAGGAGAGCUGUUGGAAAGAUAUCUAGUGUCUCGUGGACAAUGUUACCUGUUUGGAUUUUGUUCAGUUCAUCUCGAUGUAAUAGUUCUCUGAAGCCUGAAAAAUCAAUUGCUGUCUACGAGUGAAGAUGUAGAACAAUUAUGCCAACUUGCGGGGGGAAGAGACGGAGGUUGUGUGUGAACAUAAAUAUUGGAUAGGUGCACCACAACAAUGCUCUAUCAAGCUUGGCAUCAGCAUCCUGAGAUUGGCAUCUCUGUCUUUGGAUGCGACGCCUGAGUGGGUGAGGGACUUCUUCUAGGAAGAUGAUUUCUCGUCCAAUUGGGAUGACAUGCUGAUACACAAGUUUUCCUUCUUCUACAGUGACUGCGAAUAAAUAUUAGGACGUUGAAUAUGGGAGGCGGGAAGAUAAUAUUAUUGUGUCACUAAGGUGCGGUGGAAAGUUUAAACUACAUCCCUUGUUGUAGAGGCUCAAUUUUGAAGUCAUCAAAUGUCUAAUUUCUUUUCAUAUUUCAGCGUGUACUGAUGCAACAAACCUAGACGUGUUACCUGACCCCAUCAUAUAACCGAGUACUGUAAUAACGUUAUUACUCAGAAUUUUAUAUCCAAGCUCCUAAUUGUUGGUGUUGUAUCUGGAGUAGUCCAGUUGUGAGGAGGUUGUGGUCACUCUAGAACAUAGUAUUAAAUCAUUAUCAAAGGGAAUUCUAUCACUGUGUUUCUUUUAUCAAUUAAAUGAGAUUACAGGAGUA
Long non-coding RNA from Papaver somniferum (opium poppy), 2198 nucleotides. RefSeq lists it as uncharacterized. The transcript has 6 exons. Lineage: Eukaryota; Viridiplantae; Streptophyta; Magnoliopsida; Ranunculales; Papaveraceae. The record is from RefSeq and is a predicted model, not a curated record.